GAUGAACGCUGGCGGCGUGCCUAAUACAUGCCAGUCGAGCGAACAGACGAGGAGCUUGCUCCUCUGACGUUAGCGGCGGACGGGUGAGUAACACGUGGAUAACCUACCUAUAAGACUGGGAUAACUUCGGGAAACCGGAGCUAAUACCGGAUAAUAUAUUGAACCGCAUGGUUCAAUAGUGAAAGACGGUUUUGCUGUCACUUAUAGAUGGAUCCGCGCCGCAUUAGCUAGUUGGUAAGUUAACGGCUUACCAAGGCAACGAUGCGUAGCCGACCUGAGAGGGUGAUCGGCCACACUGGAACUGAGACACGGUCCAGACUCCUACGGGAGGCAGCAGUAGGGAAUCUUCCGCAAUGGGCGAAAGCUUGACGGAGCAACGCCGCGUGAGUGAUGAAGGUCUUCGGAUCGUAAAACUCUGUUAUUAGGGAAGAACAAAUGUGUAAGUAACUAUGCACGUCUUGACGGUACCUAAUCAGAAAGCCACGGCUAACUACGUG
RNAcentral lists this ribosomal RNA (497 nucleotides) under uncultured bacterium. Its description in RNAcentral is "partial 16S ribosomal RNA". It matches the Rfam family "Bacterial small subunit ribosomal RNA", at positions 28 to 507 of the family's 1533-position model. The record is from RNAcentral.